This 416-nucleotide ribosomal RNA is filed under the name Streptococcus oralis. RNAcentral's name for it is "bacterial SSU rRNA". It matches the Rfam family "Bacterial small subunit ribosomal RNA", at positions 71 to 472 of the family's 1533-position model. The record is from RNAcentral. Lineage: Bacteria; Bacillati; Bacillota; Bacilli; Lactobacillales; Streptococcaceae.
GCUUGGUGCUUGCACCGAGCGGAUGAGUUGCGAACGGGUGAGUAACGCGUAGGUAACCUGCCUGGUAGCGGGGGAUAACUAUUGGAAACGAUAGCUAAUACCGCAUAACAGUAGAUGUUGCAUGACAUUUGCUUAAAAGGUGCAAUUGCAUCACUACCAGAUGGACCUGCGUUGUAUUAGCUAGUUGGUGGGGUAACGGCUCACCAGGGCGACGAUACAUAGCCGACCUGAGAGGGUGAUCGGCCACACUGGGACUGAGACACGGCCCAGACUCCUACGGGAGGCAGCAGUAGGGAAUCUUCGGCAAUGGACGGAAGUCUGACCGAGCAACGCCGCGUGAGUGAAGAAGGUUUUCGGAUCGUAAAGCUCUGUUGUAAGAGAAGAACGAGUGUGAGAGUGGAAAGUUCACACUGUGA